AGAGUUUGAUCCUGGCUCAGGAUGAACGCUGGCGGCGUGCUUAACACAUGCAAGUCGAACGGUCCUUCGGGACAGUGGCGGACGGGUGAGUAACGCGUGGGAAUCUGCCCUUAGGAGGGGGAUAACGGUUGGAAACGACCGCUAAUACCCCAUAUGCCGAGAGGUGAAAUGAAAUUCGCCUGAGGAUGAGCCCGCGUCUGGUUAGCUAGUUGGUGGGGUAAAGGCCUACCAAGGCGACGAUCAGUAGCUGGUCUGAGAGGAUGAUCAGCCACACUGGGACUGAGACACGGCCCAGACUCCUACGGGAGGCAGCAGUGGGGAAUUUUCCGCAAUGGGCGAAAGCCUGACGGAGCAACGCCGCGUGAGGGAUGAAGGCCUCUGGGCUGUAAACCUCUUUUCUCAAGGAAGAAGAUCUGACGGUACUUGAGGAAUAAGCCACGGCUAAUUCCGUGCCAGCAGCCGCGGUAAUACGGGAGUGGCAAGCGUUAUCCGGAAUUAUUGGGCGUAAAGCGUCCGCAGGCGGCCUUGUAAGUCUGUUGUUAAAGCGUGGAGCUUAACUCCAUUUCAGCAAUGGAAACUACAAGGCUUGAGUGUGGUAGGGGCAGAGGGAAUUCCCGGUGUAGCGGUGAAAUGCGUAGAUAUCGGGAAGAACACCAGUGGCGAAGGUGCUCUGCUGGGGCAUAACUGACGCUCAUGGACGAAAGCCAGGGGAGCGAAAGGGAUUAGAUACCCCUGUAGUCCUGGCCGUAAACGAUGAACACUAGGUGUCGGGGGAAUCGACCCCCUCGGUGUCGUAGCCAACGCGUUAAGUGUUCCGCCUGGGGAGUACGCACGCAAGUGUGAAACUCAAAGGAAUUGACGGGGGCCCGCACAAGCGGUGGAGUAUGUGGUUUAAUUCGAUGCAACGCGAAGAACCUUACCAGGGUUUGACAUCCUGCGAACCCCUGAGAAAUCGGGGGGUGCCUUCGGGAACGCAGUGACAGGUGGUGCAUGGCUGUCGUCAGCUCGUGUCGUGAGAUGUUGGGUUAAGUCCCGCAACGAGCGCAACCCACGUCUUUAGUUGCCAGCAUUCAGUUGGGCACUCUAGAGAGACCGCCGGUGAUAAACCGGAGGAAGGUGUGGAUGACGUCAAGUCAUCAUGCCCCUUACAUCCUGGGCUACACACGUACUACAAUGCUACGGACAAAGGGCAGCAAGCUCGCGAGAGUUAGCAAAUCCCAUAAACCGUGGCUCAGUUCAGAUCGUAGGCUGCAACUCGCCUACGUGAAGGAGGAAUCGCUAGUAAUCGCAGGUCAGCAUACUGCGGUGAAUACGUUCCCGGGCCUUGUACACACCGCCCGUCACACCAUGGAAGUUGGCCAUGCCCGAAGUCGUUACUCCAACCCUUGUGGAGGAGGACGCCGAAGGUGGGGCUGAUGACUGGGGUGAAGUCGUAACAAGGUA
This 1443-nucleotide ribosomal RNA is filed under the name metagenome. RNAcentral describes it as "bacterial SSU rRNA". It matches the Rfam family "Bacterial small subunit ribosomal RNA". The record is from RNAcentral.